CCUACGGGAGGCAGCAGUGGGGAAUUUUGGACAAUGGGCGAAAGCCUGAUCCAGCCAUGCCGCGUGAGUGAAGAAGGCCUUCGGGUUGUAAAGCUCCUUUAGUCGGAAAGAAAGAGUUGCAAUGAAUAAUUGUGAUUUAUGACGGUACCGACAGAAAAAGCACCGGCUAACUACGUGCCAGCAGCCGCGGUAAUACGUAGGGUGCGAGCGUUAAUCGGAAUUACUGGGCGUAAAGGGUGCGCAGGCGGUCUUGCAAGUCAGAUGUGAAAGCCCCGGGCUUAACCUGGGAAUUGCGUUUGAAACUACAAGGCUAGAGUGCAGCAGAGGGGAGUGGAAUUCCAUGUGUAGCAGUGAAAUGCGUAGAGAUGUGGAAGAACACCGAUGGCGAAGGCAGCUCCCUGGGUUGACACUGACGCUCAUGCACGAAAGCGUGGGGAGCAAACAGGAUUAGAUACCCUGGUAGUCCACGCCCUAAACGAUGUCAACUGGUUGUCGGAUCUAAUUAAGGAUUUGGUAACGUAGCUAACGCGUGAAGUUGACCGCCUGGGGAGUACGGUCGCAAGAUUAAAACUCAAAGGAAUUGACGG
RNAcentral lists this ribosomal RNA (587 nucleotides) under uncultured Nitrosomonas sp. Its description in RNAcentral is "bacterial SSU rRNA". It matches the Rfam family "Bacterial small subunit ribosomal RNA", at positions 338 to 916 of the family's 1533-position model. The record is from RNAcentral. Lineage: Bacteria; Pseudomonadati; Pseudomonadota; Betaproteobacteria; Nitrosomonadales; Nitrosomonadaceae.